GAAGAUCCCUUCUUUAUGGAGUCUUUCAUCACAAACCCAAAUCUUGGAGUAUGGGUGUUUUUCAAAAACCCUCAGAAUACUCCUCUUCAGAGUACUGUGUAACUUCAUAAGGCACUUAAUUACAACUGACAGGCCUGUAUUUACCAAGGUCAUCUUUCUUGCCCUUCUUGAAUACUGGGAUACCGAACAGGCAAAGUUUGGGAUACUGGAGAAACAAAGUAGACUCAUGUCAAGCUCACUACUGGACUUCAGUAGAGCAAACUUUAAUCUUUUUGAGGAUGUGCUUGGUAGAGUAAUGUAAAGGGUGAAGACCUGAAGGGAAGAAGGCACCAAGAAGAGCAAUGCAUCCCAAUAAAGUUCAUCCAUACCAGU
Molecule: non-coding RNA, 372 nt
Organism: Phasianus colchicus (ring-necked pheasant)
Lineage: Eukaryota; Metazoa; Chordata; Aves; Galliformes; Phasianidae
Source: RefSeq, a predicted model, not a curated record